GGUUGUAGUUCAGUGGUAGAGCUCUUGCCUAGCAUUCGUGAGGCACUGAGUUCAAUCCUCAGCACCA
RNAcentral lists this transfer RNA (67 nucleotides) under Marmota monax (woodchuck). Its description in RNAcentral is "tRNA.Ala". The record is from RNAcentral. Lineage: Eukaryota; Metazoa; Chordata; Mammalia; Rodentia; Sciuridae.